UACAGAGGUCUCAAGCGUUGUUCGGAUUCAUUGGGCGUAAAGGGUGCGUAGGCGGCGCGGUAAGUCGGAUGUGAAAUCUUGGAGCUUAACUCCGAAACUGCAUUCGAUACUGCCGUGCUUGAGGACUGGAGAGGAGACUGGAAUUUACGGUGUAGCGGUGAAAUGCGUAGAUAUCGUAAGGAAGACCAGUGGCGAAGGCGGGUCUCUGGACAGUUCCUGACGCUGAGGCACGAAGGUCAGGGGAGCAAACGGG
RNAcentral lists this ribosomal RNA (253 nucleotides) under uncultured bacterium. RNAcentral describes it as "partial 16S ribosomal RNA". It matches the Rfam family "Bacterial small subunit ribosomal RNA", at positions 524 to 776 of the family's 1533-position model. The record is from RNAcentral.